This 1372-nucleotide ribosomal RNA is filed under the name uncultured bacterium. Its description in RNAcentral is "bacterial SSU rRNA". It matches the Rfam family "Bacterial small subunit ribosomal RNA", at positions 28 to 1381 of the family's 1533-position model. The record is from RNAcentral.
GAUGAACGCUGGCGGCGUGCCUAAUACAUGCAAGUCGAGCGAACGGACGAGAAGCUUGCUUCUCUGAUGUUAGCGGCGGACGGGUGAGUAACACGUGGAUAACCUACCUAUAAGACUGGGAUAACUUCGGGAAACCGGAGCUAAUACCGGAUAAUAUUUUGAACCGCAUGGUUCAAAAGUGAAAGACGGUCUUGCUGUCACUUAUAGAUGGAUCCGCGCUGCAUUAGCUAGUUGGUAAGGUAACGGCUUACCAAGGCAACGAUGCAUAGCCGACCUGAGAGGGUGAUCGGCCACACUGGAACUGAGACACGGUCCAGACUCCUACGGGAGGCAGCAGUAGGGAAUCUUCCGCAAUGGGCGAAAGCCUGACGGAGCAACGCCGCGUGAGUGAUGAAGGUCUUCGGAUCGUAAAACUCUGUUAUUAGGGAAGAACAUAUGUGUAAGUAACUGUGCACAUCUUGACGGUACCUAAUCAGAAAGCCACGGCUAACUACGUGCCAGCAGCCGCGGUAAUACGUAGGUGGCAAGCGUUAUCCGGAAUUAUGGGGCGUAAAGCGCGCGUAGGCGGUUUUUUAAGUCUGAUGUGAAAGCCCACGGCUCAACCGUGGAGGGUCAUUGGAAACUGGAAAACUUGAGUGCAGAAGAGGAAAGUGGAAUUCCAUGUGUAGCGGUGAAAUGCGCAGAGAUAUGGAGGAACACCAGUGGCGAAGGCGACUUUCUGGUCUGUAACUGACGCUGAUGUGCGAAAGCGUGGGGAUCAAACAGGAUUAGAUACCCUGGUAGUCCACGCCGUAAACGAUGAGUGCUAAGUGUUAGGGGGUUUCCGCCCCUUAGUGCUGCAGCUAACGCAUUAAGCACUCCGCCUGGGGAGUACGACCGCAAGGUUGAAACUCAAAGGAAUUGACGGGGACCCGCACAAGCGGUGGAGCAUGUGGUUUAAUUCGAAGCAACGCGAAGAACCUUACCAAAUCUUGACAUCCUUUGACAACUCUAGAGAUAGAGCUUUCCCCUUCGGGGGACAAAGUGACAGGUGGUGCAUGGUUGUCGUCAGCUCGUGUCGUGAGAUGUUGGGUUAAGUCCCGCAACGAGCGCAACCCUUAAGCUUAGUUGCCAUCAUUAAGUUGGGCACUCUAAGUUGACUGCCGGUGACAAACCGGAGGAAGGUGGGGAUGACGUCAAAUCAUCAUGCCCCUUAUGAUUUGGGCUACACACGUGCUACAAUGGACAAUACAAAGGGCAGCGAAACCGCGAGGUCAAGCAAAUCCCAUAAAGGUGUUCUCAGUUCGGAUUGUAGUCUGCAACUCGACUACAUGAAGCUGGAAUCGCUAGUAAUCGUAGAUCAGCAUGCUACGGUGAGUACGUUCCCGGGUCU